This 402-nucleotide unclassified non-coding RNA is filed under the name soil metagenome. Its description in RNAcentral is "partial contains 5.8S ribosomal RNA, internal transcribed spacer 2, and large subunit ribosomal RNA". The stretch from base 1 to 121 matches the Rfam family "5.8S ribosomal RNA", at positions 35 to 154 of the family's 154-position model. The record is from RNAcentral.
GAUGAAGAACGUAGCGAAAUGCGAUAAGUAAUGUGAAUUGCAGAAUUCAGUGAAUCAUCGAAUCUUUGAACGCACCUUGCGCCCUUUGGCUAUUCCGAAGGGCAUGCCUGUUUGAGUAUCGUGAACACCUCAACUCUCAUGGUUUGCCAUGAUGAGCUUGGACUUUGGGGGUUUAGCUGGCCUUUGGUCGGCUCCUCUCAAACGGAUCAGCUUUCCAGUGUUUGGUGGCGUCACGGGUGUGAUAACUAUCUACGCCUGUGGUUUUCUGCCAGAUAACCUUCAGCGAUGGAGGUUCGCUGGGGCUCAUAAAUGUCUCUCUUCAGUGGAGACAGCUUUUUGGACGUUUGAUCUCAAAUCAGGUAGGACUACCCGCUGAACUUAAGCAUAUCAAUAAGCGGAGGA